UACGAAGGGGGCUAGCGUUGCUCGGAAUUACUGGGCGUAAAGGGCGCGGAGGCGGACAGUUUAGUCAGAGGUGAAAGCCCAGGGCUCAACCUUGGAAUUGCCUUUGAUACUGGCUGUCUUGAGUUCGGGAGAGGUGAGUGGAAUGCCGAGUGUAGAGGUGAAAUUCGUAGAUAUUCGGCGGAACACCAGUGGCGAAGGCGACUCACUGGCCCGAUACUGACGCUGAGGCGCGAAAGCGUGGGGAGCAAACAGG
This 253-nucleotide ribosomal RNA is filed under the name uncultured bacterium. RNAcentral describes it as "partial 16S ribosomal RNA". It matches the Rfam family "Bacterial small subunit ribosomal RNA", at positions 524 to 776 of the family's 1533-position model. The record is from RNAcentral.